CGGACGGGUGAGUAACGCGUGGAAAACCUGCCGUAUACUGGGGGAUAACACUUAGAAAUAGGUGCUAAUACCGCAUAAGCGCACAGCUUCGCAUGAAGCGGUGUGAAAAACUCUGGUGGUAUACGAUGGUUCCGCGUCUGAUUAGCUAGUUGGUGGGGUAAUGGCCUACCAAAGGCAACGAUCAGUAGCCGGCCUGAGAGGGUGAACGGCCACAUUGGGACUGAGACACGGCCCAAACUCCUACGGAAGGCAGCAG
Molecule: ribosomal RNA, 256 nt
Filed under: uncultured bacterium
Lineage: Bacteria
Description: partial 16S ribosomal RNA
Rfam family: Bacterial small subunit ribosomal RNA
Source: RNAcentral